This 780-nucleotide ribosomal RNA is filed under the name uncultured Neocallimastigales. RNAcentral describes it as "partial large subunit ribosomal RNA". It matches the Rfam family "Eukaryotic large subunit ribosomal RNA", at positions 23 to 630 of the family's 3401-position model. The record is from RNAcentral. Lineage: Eukaryota; Fungi; Neocallimastigomycota; Neocallimastigomycetes; Neocallimastigales.
GAGAUGUGUGAUGACGCAUAUCAAUAAGCGGAGGAAAAGAAACUAACUAGGAUUCCCUUAGUAACGGCGAGUGAAGCGGGGAGAGCUCAAAUUUGAAAUCUUCAAGGUUCUACCUUGACGAAUUGUAGUUUAUAAGAAGUGUUUCUCUGUUAGUAGAGUGGCUAAAAGUUCUUUGGAAUAGGACAUCAUAGAGGGUGAGAAUCCCGUAUUUGGUCAUUCUUUCUAGCUUUGUGAUACACUUUCAACGAGUCGGAUUGUUUGGGAAUGCAGUCCAAAAUGGGUGGUAAAUUUCAUCUAAAGCUAAAUACUGGCGAGAGACCGAUAGCGAACAAGUACCGUGAGGGAAAGAUGAAAAGAACUUUGAAAAGAGAGUUAAACAGUACGUGAAAUUGUCAAAAGGGAAGCGUUUGACACCAGUGUUGUUUUCUCGAAAAUCAAUUAAUAAUUACUGAUUUUAAGUGUUAGUAUUGACUUCAUCAGCUUGCUGCUUUUUUUCAGGAAAUUAUUGAAUGCACUUUUCAGUUAACAAGUCAACAUCAAUUUCUUUUGUUGUAAAAGGGUACGAGGAAGGUGGCUUUCUUUUCGGAGAAAGUGUUUAUAGCCUUGUAGCCUCUGCAAUCGGAGAGAUUGAGGUCUGCAGCGUAGAUCCUUCGGGGUUAGAUACAGUUUGUGCUAAGCUAUAGCUUUUCAUAGACAACUUGUUGACUAUGUUAAGUCUUGUAGCUUACUCGCUUAUGCUAUUUUACCUACGCUUAGGAUGUUGAGUCGUAGAGCACGCAG